GACGAACGCUGGCGGCGUGCUUAACACAUGCAAGUCGAGCGGUAAGGCCCUUUCGGGGGUACACGAGCGGCGAACGGGUGAGUAACACGUGGGUGACCUGCCCUUAGCUCUGGGAUAAGCCUGGGAAACUGGGUCUAAUACCGGAUAUGACUCCAUGACGCAUGUUGUGGGGUGGAAAGCCUUGUGCGGCUAGGGAUGGGCCUGCGGCCUAUCAGCUUGUUGGUGGGGUGANGGCCUACCAAGGCGACGACGGGUAGCCGGCCUGAGAGGGCGACCGGCCACACUGGGACUGAGACACGGCCCAGACUCCUACGGGAGGCAGCAGUGGGGAAUCUUGCGCAAUGGGCGAAAGCCUGACGCAGCGACGCCGCGUGGGGA
This 378-nucleotide ribosomal RNA is filed under the name uncultured bacterium. Its description in RNAcentral is "bacterial SSU rRNA". It matches the Rfam family "Bacterial small subunit ribosomal RNA", at positions 28 to 407 of the family's 1533-position model. The record is from RNAcentral.